This 2098-nucleotide long non-coding RNA is filed under the name Marmota monax (woodchuck). The record is from RNAcentral. Lineage: Eukaryota; Metazoa; Chordata; Mammalia; Rodentia; Sciuridae.
UGUUUGUUUACCAAAGAAAAUAUUCCACUCAUCAGAAAUAUUUCUCCUGGUCAACUAAAAACUGUGAUACUUGGGAUUUCUUGGCCUUCAUAAGGAAAAUAAGAAAAGCCAAGGUAAGAGUUAUGAUACUCUCUCACUUCAUGAAAUUCAUCAGAAGAUGUAAAUUCACAAGGAACUUGGGGUUUGCAAGAAAGAAAAUGAUACUUGAAACAGGGCAUUGUUUAGUCCUCCAGCAAUGUUCCAACAAGUAGCACUAGGACUCCUCAGGCUAAAAGAAGUACAGUUUAUUCCAGAGAAAAUAUAGGAAAGCAUCAUGAAAAAUUCCUCUCCAUUGUUCCAGUCCAUAAGUUUUGAGGUUUUUUGGUGUUUUUGGUUUAGUUUGUGAAUUUUGUUUGUUUCUCUGUUUGUGUUUGCUUGUUUAGCACCUGUCUUUCCUACCACUUUUACCCCCUCAAUCUUCAGUUAGAAAUGAGAUCAUCAGAUGCCAUCCUCCAUGGCCACAGUUAUUUAUACAACAUACUGCUAUCAACAAGACCCUUGAGAACCAUUUUGAAUAACCACCACCCAGUUGUAAGUGGCAUUCUGGGACCAUGACACUACUUUCUUCCAGCCUUAGAAGCAGAUUUUGGAAAUAUCCCUCAUAGGAACAGAUGAGAUGGAGCACUGCCUUAGGGAUGUGGUCUGAGGCAGAACCUCUUGGACACAAAUGGUAUUCUCAUAGUAUCUUUAUUCCUUUAAAUUCCAUUAAAGUAUCCCUGCAGCUUUCAUAGUGCUUGUUCUCUAUGAAUCUCUGUUUUCUCAUCUGUAAAAUGGGGGUAAUAAUAGUAAAUGUCUUUAAAUUCAGAAAAUAUUUAUUGAGUCCCUAAUAUCACCCAUGUACUGUUUGAGAGAUUGGAGACACAAGAGUGAACAAAUCAGAUAAAAAAUAAUCUGCCCUCUUUGAGUUGACAUUUGAGUGAUGUUUGCUGUGAGGAUUAAGUGAGAUGACACAUGGAAAACACUUGUAGCAAAGCCUGGCAAAGAGAACUCAAGAUGUUAUUAUUUUUAACUUGUCAAUCUCACACAGUAGCACCAGGAUGUAAAGCUAGAGAGAUAUAGAUUUGGGACCACAAUUAGGGCUAUUUAAGGAUGCAAUAGGUUGCCACAAAAAAAAAUUAGUUAAUUCCUGGUCGUUUUAGGACAUUCAAAAUUAGGCUGGAUCACCAUUUAGUGGAGCAACUGUAAAGGAGGUGCAAGCCCUGGAUGUUGGGGUUAGACUCUAAACCUAGAAAAAUGGGAUAUAGGCACUUGGGGUAGGCAGUGGGAAUGGGACAGUACUAAUUAUUAACUAUGCCUGGCUUGUCUGAAGAUAUUUGAAUAUUCUUUUUGGGUGAUUUGCUUUUAAAUUUUUGCUCAAUAAAAAGUAUCAGGUAUUUGAAGACAAAGUUCUUACUUUUAAAAAGCAUGGUAAAGUUGUAAUACAAAGGAAAAUAUUAAAUUAGUACCAUACUGGAUUAGUUGGCAAAGAACUGAGAAUAGAUAAAGCCAACACAUUGCAGAGUUCCUCCCUGUGGUGGUUACAACUGUUUAUUUCUGUUUCAUGCCAGUUCAGGAUAAAGGAAAGAGGAAAGUGAAUGAGCUAGAAUCUGUUCACCUGAAUAGGCAGUCUCAGGAUGUCCUCCCCAGCCUGCCUCACAGCUGCCCCACUCCCAUCUGCCCAGGUGAUCUGUUUGAAGUGCUCUUUGAUAUCUAUGAGGGAGCCAUGCAAGGAAGAGGAAGUGAGAUGACCAGAGAGCUGUGGUCUCUACAGAUUUUUUAGUUAUAUUAAAAUUAGUACCACAAGAGUUCAGAGGAGGCUGCCUGGUAGGGAAAGAAGGCUUUUUUUCAGAGUACAAAGAAAGCAAUGUGUACCAAGGAGGCAACCUGCAGAAGAACCUUGGUGGAAGGAAUGAUGUUCAUGUGGAAUCUGCCAGCUUCUUCUCCCUCCAGAAUGUUGACCCCAGAUGAAUUUUUGGAUAGAAAUAAGCCUAAUCCCCCCCCUUUUUCACAUGAGAAAACUGAAACCUAGAGAAGUAAAAUUGUGUUCAGAGCUAAUUAGAAACAGAUGCAGGACUGUAAC